Molecule: ribosomal RNA, 1503 nt
Filed under: Helicobacter pylori
Lineage: Bacteria; Pseudomonadati; Campylobacterota; Epsilonproteobacteria; Campylobacterales; Helicobacteraceae
Description: bacterial SSU rRNA
Rfam family: Bacterial small subunit ribosomal RNA
Source: RNAcentral
UUUAUGGAGAGUUUGAUCCUGGCUCAGAGUGAACGCUGGCGGCGUGCCUAAUACAUGCAAGUCGAACGAUGAAGCUUCUAGCUUGCUAGAAGUGGAUUAGUGGCGCACGGGUGAGUAACGCAUAGGUCAUGUGCCUCUUAGUUUGGGAUAGCCAUUGGAAACGAUGAUUAAUACCAGAUACUCCCUACGGGGGAAAGAUUUAUCGCUAAGAGAUCAGCCUAUGUCCUAUCAGCUUGUUGGUAAGGUAAUGGCUUACCAAGGCUAUGACGGGUAUCCGGCCUGAGAGGGUGAACGGACACACUGGAACUGAGACACGGUCCAGACUCCUACGGGAGGCAGCAGUAGGGAAUAUUGCUCAAUGGGGGAAACCCUGAAGCAGCAACGCCGCGUGGAGGAUGAAGGUUUUAGGAUUGUAAACUCCUUUUGUUAGAGAAGAUAAUGACGGUAUCUAACGAAUAAGCACCGGCUAACUCCGUGCCAGCAGCCGCGGUAAUACGGAGGGUGCAAGCGUUACUCGGAAUCACUGGGCGUAAAGAGCGCGUAGGCGGGAUAGUCAGUCAGGUGUGAAAUCCUAUGGCUUAACCAUAGAACUGCAUUUGAAACUACUAUUCUAGAGUGUGGGAGAGGUAGGUGGAAUUCUUGGUGUAGGGGUAAAAUCCGUAGAGAUCAAGAGGAAUACUCAUUGCGAAGGCGACCUGCUGGAACAUUACUGACGCUGAUUGCGCGAAAGCGUGGGGAGCAAACAGGAUUAGAUACCCUGGUAGUCCACGCCCUAAACGAUGGAUGCUAGUUGUUGGAGGGCUUAGUCUCUCCAGUAAUGCAGCUAACGCAUUAAGCAUCCCGCCUGGGGAGUACGGUCGCAAGAUUAAAACUCAAAGGAAUAGACGGGGACCCGCACAAGCGGUGGAGCAUGUGGUUUAAUUCGAAGAUACACGAAGAACCUUACCUAGGCUUGACAUUGAGAGAAUCCGCUAGAAAUAGUGGAGUGUCUAGCUUGCUAGACCUUGAAAACAGGUGCUGCACGGCUGUCGUCAGCUCGUGUCGUGAGAUGUUGGGUUAAGUCCCGCAACGAGCGCAACCCCCUUUCUUAGUUGCUAACAGGUUAUGCUGAGAACUCUAAGGAUACUGCCUCCGUAAGGAGGAGGAAGGUGGGGACGACGUCAAGUCAUCAUGGCCCUUACGCCUAGGGCUACACACGUGCUACAAUGGGGUGCACAAAGAGAAGCAAUACUGCGAAGUGGAGCCAAUCUUCAAAACGCCUCUCAGUUCGGAUUGUAGGCUGCAACUCGCCUGCAUGAAGCUGGAAUCGCUAGUAAUCGCAAAUCAGCCAUGUUGCGGUGAAUACGUUCCCGGGUCUUGUACUCACCGCCCGUCACACCAUGGGAGUUGUGUUUGCCUUAAGUCAGGAUGCUAAAUUAGCUACUGCCCACGGCACACACAGCGACUGGGGUGAAGUCGUAACAAGGUAACCGUAGGUGAACCUGCGGUUGGAUCACCUCCUUU